GGUGUCUCCCACUUUUCUUCUAAUAAUCAAAAAAUCAAUUCUCAAAAUCACUACCGAACAAGUUCUAUAGUAUGAUCAACAAAGAAUAUGAAGAGAAUUCAAAUACAAGAAUGUGUGGGCCCAUUAUUGACACAAUAAGUAGUAAGUUUGUCGGUCAAAGAUAUAUCAAUAAACUUACGUCCGAAAAUAGUGAAGCCAGAGAAACUUGAGCAUCUCUGAAAGCUUGGGCUCGAUAUUCAACCUAAGUUGAGGACUGAGUCCUAAACGUGUGCUUCGAGAACACAAGGAAACAACAUUGCCACCCAUAUGACAAGAUAAGUCCAAAAAAUUAGUGACAUGAAGAUAUUGAUUGUGUACAAAGAGAGUUAAUAGCCCAAAUUUGUUAUUAAAUUUUGUAAAAAGUUUUCACAUGGUUAUUAAACUUUAAAAAUCAUUUAAAUCAUUACUGAACUUUGUAAAAGAUUUUCACGAGAUCACUGAACUUUAAAAAUCAUCUCAUUCAUCACUAAACUUUACAAAAAAGUUUCCCAAAGAAUCAUUAAUUUAGUGAUCGUUGGAAACAUUUUGCAAAGUUCAAUGACCCCGUAAAUUUUUUUGCAAAAUGUUUCGAGCGAUCACUAAAUUAAUGAUUCUUUGGGAAACUUUUUUGCAAAAUUUAGUGAUGAAUGAGAUCAUUUUUAAAGUUUAGUAAUCCCGUGAAAACUUUUUGUAAAGUUCAAUAAUGAUUUUAGUGAUUUUUAAAGUUUAGUGACCAUGUGAAAACUUUUUAUAAAGUUCAAUUACCAUUUUGGUUAUUAACCCAUACAAAGAAGAGUCCAUAGCAAAGUGCAACUGUGCAUGUAUAUUACAGAUGGUAAAGUAGGUAUAGUGUCGUGUAGAAACAAUGUCAUGGAGGUCGACAAUACUGAGGGUCCAUUUGAUUGUAAAGAUGGAAUUGAAUUGAAUUGAAAACGAAUUAUAGGAAAUUGAAUAACCUAAAAAUUGUUUUUCUGUGAAUUGUAAAUUAUUGCGGUUGAUUGGUA
This 1022-nucleotide long non-coding RNA is filed under the name Olea europaea subsp. europaea. Lineage: Eukaryota; Viridiplantae; Streptophyta; Magnoliopsida; Lamiales; Oleaceae. The record is from RNAcentral.